UGGUUCUGGCAUNGAUGAAGAACGCAGCGAAAUGCGAUAAGUAAUGUGAAUUGCAGAAUUCAGUGAAUCAUCGAAUCUUUUAACGCACAUUGCGCCCCGUGGCACUCCGCGGGGCAUGCCUGUUCGAGCGUCAUUACACCACUCAAGCCUGGCUUGGUAUUGGGCGCCGCGGUCCGCCGCGCGCCUCGAAGUCUCCGGCUGAGCCGUCCGUCUCUAAGCGUUGUGGUAAACUAUUCGCUUGCGAGGCCGGGGGGCUCCACGCCGUUAAACCCUUCUCAAGGUUGACCUCGGAUCAGGUAGGGAUACCCGCUGA
RNAcentral lists this unclassified non-coding RNA (313 nucleotides) under uncultured fungus. RNAcentral describes it as "partial contains 5.8S ribosomal RNA and internal transcribed spacer 2". The stretch from base 1 to 133 matches the Rfam family "5.8S ribosomal RNA", at positions 22 to 154 of the family's 154-position model. Lineage: Eukaryota; Fungi. The record is from RNAcentral.